CGAACGCUGGCGGCGUGCCUAAUACAUGCAAGUCGAGCGGACAGAUGGGAGCUUGCUCCCUGAAGUCAGCGGCGGACGGGUGAGUAACACGUGGGCAACCUGCCUGUAAGACUGGGAUAACUCCGGGAAACCGGGGCUAAUACCGGAUAAUUCUUUCCCUCACAUGAGGGAAAGCUGAAAGAUGGUUUCGGCUAUCACUUACAGAUGGGCCCGCGGCGCAUUAGCUAGUUGGUGAGGUAACGGCUCACCAAGGCAACGAUGCGUAGCCGACCUGAGAGGGUGAUCGGCCACACUGGGACUGAGACACG
Molecule: ribosomal RNA, 308 nt
Filed under: uncultured Bacillus sp.
Lineage: Bacteria; Bacillati; Bacillota; Bacilli; Caryophanales; Bacillaceae
Description: bacterial SSU rRNA
Rfam family: Bacterial small subunit ribosomal RNA
Source: RNAcentral